CGGCUGUCACGGUCGCUGCCCACCCGGGUUCUUCGCUGCUUCUAGUUCCGGGCGCUUUGCCGGGCGUUAAUGGCGGCCAACAUCGCCGGUGCUGCGGCUUUCUCCCUAAAGUGUCACAGGAGCUAAGGGCGCUGCUUAACGAACUGCAGAAGACGCAGGCAGGUGAAGGACACCGGUUCUGCUGCGGCAGUGGAAUGUGGCGGAGAAGCUGGCGGAACAUGAAGCAUACUGAAGUAGAGACGGCAGGAUUUUCUCAUGCAUGGAAUAUGGGAUGUGAAUGAAAACAGAAGGAUCACUUGAUGGCUGCGGACCUGAGCAACUGGAGGGAUGGAGUUGCAAUUAGGUGAAGUGAGGAAUUCAGCAGGGGAAGCAAGUUUUGGGGCAGAAGAUUUUAUCAGGGAUAUUUUAGUAAUUAAAUAGUUAGAUUAGUGUCUUAAUCACAACUCCACAUCCUUACCUGAUUUGGAGCUUCUGUCAGUCUCCCAGCUCUGAGCUGCUUCAGGCUGGGAAGCCGACAGUCGGGGAGAAGUCAUGGAUAGCUUCUGGUCCUCUUUUCCCACUGUGGCUGUCCUCCUCUUCCCCGGCCCUCACUAUGUUGUCUCCAGCUCCUCUUCUGGGACAGGAAGGGACAGAAAGAUCUUACUGACAGGUACCCCAUGAAGGUACCCCCUAGGGGAUGGAGAUCCCAGGGCUUCCCCUCCUUGAGUCCCUCAGAGAUUCCUGGUAAUGCCUCUCAUCUGACUGCCAUUUUGACCGCUCCCUGUCAUCUUUCAGGCCACCUCUCUUUUGGGAUCCCAUGGUCUUUCUAGGGAAGGAUCCAAGAGGGACCCAGGAUCCACAUUUGGUCCAUAAGAACCACCCGUACUUUGCCCUGUCCUCAGAGGGCGUGUAGUCCACAUCUAACACAGCCCUCUCUACUCUGCCACCUCUGGCCACUUUGGCCUGGAGAAUGUUUUCAGAACUCAUCUCUGUACUACACAAACUCUAAGGACCUCAAGUCAGAUUCUCCAAGGAGUUCUCUUGAGGUCCUUUCUGUUGCCUACUUAAAGUGACCUGGCAACUAACCAAACAUAUGUGUGUGUGUAUAUGUGUGCAUGUGUGUGUAUGUGUGUAUAUAGACAUACAUAUCUGUACACAUAUGUAUGUGUGUAUACAUAUACAUACACAAUACAUAUAUACAUAUACACACACAUACAAUUAACAGAAGACAUAUGGAUGGAUGGCCAUAGGAGCAUAAUAGUCAUAAUCUGGAAACAAUCCAAAUUUUAAUCAGUAAUAGAAAUGGAUAAAUAGUGGGCCUGGCACAGUGGCUCACAUCUGUAACCCUAGCACUUUGGGAGGCUGAGCUGGGAGAAUUGCUUGAGCCCAGAAGUUUAAGACCAGCCUGGGCAACAUGGCAAAACCCCAUCUCUAGCCAAAAAAACCCACAAAAAUUAGCCAGUUGUGAUGGUGCACACUUGUAGUCUCAGCUACUACUUGGGAGGCUUAGGUGGGAGGAUUGCUUGAGGCUGGUAGGUGGAGGUUGCAGUGAGCUGAGAUCCCACCACUGCCCUCCAGCCUGGGUGACACAGCAAGACCUCGUCUCAAAAAAAAAAAAAAAAAAGAAUGGAUAAAUAAUGGUAGCAUAUUUUUUAAUGCAAUUUUUUAAAAAAGAAUGAACUACUACCACAAUGUGGGUAAAUUUCACAGGCAUAUGUUAAGUCAAAGAAACAAAAUACAGGCAGGGCAUAGUGGCUCACGCCUGUAAUCCCAGCACUUUGGGAGGCUGAGGCGGGCGGAUCACAAGGUCAGGAGAUCAGGACCAUCCUGGCUAACACGGUGAAACCCCAUCUCUACUAAAAAUACAAAAAAUUAGCUGGGCAUGGUGGCAUGCGCCUGUAAUCCCAGCUACUUGGGAGGCUGAGGCAGGAGAAUCACUUGAACCCGGGAGGUGCAGGUUGUAGUCAGCUGAGAUUGCGCCACUGCACUCCAGCCUGGGCGACAGAGCGAGACUCCAUCUCAAAAAAAAAAAAAAAAAAAAAAAAGAAAAAGAAAAGAAACAAAAUACAAAAGAAUGCAUACAGUUUGAUUCCAUUUAUAUGACUUUCAACAACAGGCAAAACUAAUCUAUGCUGUUAGAAGUCAAGAUAGUAGGGUAAGUAGUGAGUGGACAAGAGGGAGGUUUUGGGGAGAUCUACUGGAAUAUGCUCUAACUUAAUCUGGGUGAUGAUUACAUUUGUUACGUAAUGGGCUUAUACAUUUCUACAGUUUCAUCUAGCUCUACAGUUGAGAUGUGUGCAUUUUAUUACAUAUAUGUUUACUAAGAAAGUGAAAAGACAAUUCACGGAGAAAUUUUUCUCCCUAUUAUUCAUACAUUGCAUUUUCAUCAUUUGAUAACAUGAGUUGGGGAUUAUUUACAAAGAAUGCUUUAGUUGUGAGGACAUUCUAAGCCUAAAACUGGCAGAGACAUUUCAAAAAUGAAAAUGUUAUGUCUAAGGAAAAACAGCCCUCUUCCUUUGCUGCCUGUGACCGCUGUUACCACACUUCUCAGGUUCUCCUAAGCGAGCAGCGUGGCUUCCUGGGCUUCUACCAGAAUUUACCAGCAGGGGUCAGCCCUGUACAAAACCCAGGCGCUUGAGCCUCCCGUGAAUUGGAACUUGCUCUCUGGUUCUGUCAAGCCAUUCUGGCCUUUUAGCUUUCUCACUUCACAUUCCCAGCUACACUUCCUUCUGCUCUGUUACCACCACCCACUCCCGUGAUCACAACAUGGACCAGAAACUUCACAGCCUUCCUCACUCAUUCAAACACGCUCUCCUCUCCUUCCGUGCUCUCAAGUAACCCCCGCAGCAACAGUCCUUUCAGCUUAGCAAGCUCUUCAGUCCAAGCCCUGCUGCUUUCUCUCCAUCCUGCAGUCCCCUCCUCUCUUCACUCUCCCCUUUUCAACCCAGACAUCACGGGUCAUCAAUGAAAUCACUUUUGCAAACACCUCCAACUCUUUGACCAUUCUAGGCCUCAGCUCCUAACCCCUUAGGAUUUUCUGGCCGGGCGCGGUGGCUCACGUCUGUAAUCCCAGCACUUUGGGAGGCCGAGGUGGGCGGAUCAUUUGAGGUCAGGGGUUCCAGACCAGCCUGGCCAACAUGGUGAACCCCGUCUCUGCUAAAAAUACAAAAAUUAGCUGGGUGCGGUGGUGGGCGCCUGCAAUCCCAGCUACUUGGGAGACAGGGGAAUCGCUUGAACCCAGGAGGCAGACGUUGCAGUGAGCCGAGAUUGCGCCACUGCAGCACUGCCGCUUGGGCAACAAGAGUAGAAAAAAAAAAAAGUUAAAAAAAAAAAAAGGAUUUUCUGUUGCACUUGGGAUAAAGUACAAAGCCCAAUACAGAGCCCCCAAGGCCCUGAGUGACCCAACCUUGGGCUGGUAUCUCUCCCACCAUGACUCAUGCACAGCACUCCCCUCUCCAUGUUUUCCACUCUUCCCUCUCCCAGUGGAGAAAAAGUCAUUUCCUCCAAGUCCACUCUCUCAUUCUCUUUCCUAACAAGGGGUUUAUUUCCUUCAAGACACAAUAUAAAACUUUAUCAUAUUUGUAUAAUUGCGUAUUUAAUGUUUGUCUUCCGCUUGGGGCUGUGCACUCAACAGAAGCAGUGCCAAGCACUUGCUAGGUUCAUAGAAGACACUUAAGUGUUUGUUGGCCAGGCGUGGGGGCUCACGCCUAUAAUCCCAGCACUUUGGGAGGCUGAGGCGGGCAGGUAGCUUGACCCCAGGAGUUUGAGACCAGCCUGAGCAACAUGGCGAAACACCGCCUCUACAAAUAAUUGAAAAAAUUAGCCGGGUGCGGCCAGGCGCGGCGGCUCACGCCUGUAAUUCCAGCACGUGGGAGGCCGAGGCGGGUGGAUCACAGGGUCAGGAGUUUGAGACCAGCCUGGCCAACAUGGUGAAACCCCAUCUCUACUAAAAAUACAAAAAUUAGCCGGGCGUGGUGGCACUCGUCUGUAGUCCCAGCUCCUCAGGAGGCUGAGAAGGGAGAAUCGCUUAAACCUAGGAGGUGGAGGUUGCAGUGAGCAGAGAUCAUGCCACUGCACUCCAGCCAGGGCGACAGAGCCUCCAGAGCGAGACUCCGUCUCAAAAAAAAAAAAAAUUAUCCGGGUGCUACUCGGGAAGCUACUGUAACCCCCAGCUACUCAGGAAGCUGAGGUGGGAAGAUCUCUGGAGCCUGGGCUGUUGAGGCUGCAGUGAGCUGAGAUUGCGCCACUGCAUUCCAGCCAGCCUGGGUGACAGACUGAGACCCUGUCUCAAAAAAAAAAAAAAAAAAAAAAAAAAAAAAGAAGAAAGAAAGAAAGAAAGAAGGAAAUGUUUGUUGAAUUAGAAUGUCAAUCUAGACCUUGACCCCACCAAGACAGAAGACAGGUGUAGUGCCCUCUGUUAUUUAGAAAAAUAAUCGUAGUAGCACUUUACAUUUGUAUAGUAUUUGUCUUUUCAAAGUACUUUAACAUCUAUUAUCAUAAUAAUAAAGAUAGGUAAAAAUAGGUUGCAUACAAUAGGUAAGUGCUAUUUUCCCAUUUGACAGGUUAAAAAAAAAAUGAGUCACGAAGAAAGUUGGCUAAAAUAUCAGAGUAAGGACUAAAGCCAAAAUCUCUAACCUACCCAUUUGUACAUCUUAAUUAGUAAGUAAAUAUUCUGUCUUAUGAUCAAACUUGCAGUUGAGAUAAUAGCUUAAUAGGUAAGUGUUCAGCCCUAGAGACAUAAUGUUCAGUUUCCAAACCCAGCUCCAGUACUUAACUUGCUGUGUGACCUGGCACAAGUUACCUAACUUCCCUGAGCUUCAGUUUCUCCAUGCUUAAAGUGUGAAUAAUAAUGCCUAUCUGAGGUGGUUGUAGUGAGGUUAUAAAGAGUAUAUUGCUAGGAGUGGUGGCUCAUGCCUGUAAUCCCAGCACUUUGGGAGCCCAAGGUGGGCGGAUCACCUGAGGUCCCGUGUUCAAGACCAACCUGACCAACAUGGAGAAACCUCGUUUCUACUAAAAAUACAAAAUUAGCCAGGUGCGGUGGCUC
This 5023-nucleotide long non-coding RNA is filed under the name Homo sapiens (human). RNAcentral's name for it is "HSALNT0032831". The record is from RNAcentral. Lineage: Eukaryota; Metazoa; Chordata; Mammalia; Primates; Hominidae.